GUGCCAGCAGCCGCGGUAACACGUAGGAUCCGAGCGUUAUCCGAAUUUACUGGGCGUAAAGCGCGUGCAGGCGGUUUGGUAAGUUGGACGUGAAAUCUCCCGGCUCAACUGGGAGGGGUCGUUCAAGACUGCCAGACUAGAGGGCAGUAGAGGGAGGCGGAAUUCCCGGUGUAGUGGUGAAAUGCGUAGAUAUCGGGAGGAACACCAGUGGCGAAAGCGGCCUCCUGGGCUGCACCUGACGCUCAGACGCGAAAGCUAGGGGAGCGAACGGGAUUAGAAACCCCCGUAGUCC
RNAcentral lists this ribosomal RNA (292 nucleotides) under uncultured bacterium. Its description in RNAcentral is "partial 16S ribosomal RNA". It matches the Rfam family "Bacterial small subunit ribosomal RNA", at positions 505 to 796 of the family's 1533-position model. The record is from RNAcentral.